AGUCAGUUGACUUACAAGCAGCAGCUCCCCAUCCGCCCGCGCUCCUUCUCCCCAGCCCCGCUCCCCACCAGGGCGUCACUAAAACCGACGGCCUCCUUCGGGGUCCCACCCUGGACGGGGAAGGCCGGGCCGCCCGGUGCAUGGCCCAGUGUGUCCACCAGGUGGCAACCGAGCACCGCACUUCUGAGGUCGGCGUGGGAGGCCAGGGGCGGGCCGCUCAGCCACUGACAGGGGCCUGAGGGGACCCUGCCCUUUCUGCUUUAUCCAAGAAGCCAGUGACCUCGUCUGUAAAAUGGGGACACCUACCUCCUGGGGCCGUUUUGAGGGUUCUGAGAAGUAACGGGUGGAAGGUGCUUGGCGCAGAGCCUGGGGCACAGUAAGCACUCG
Long non-coding RNA from Myotis brandtii (Brandt's bat), 387 nucleotides. RefSeq lists it as uncharacterized. NCBI's taxonomy places the organism in Eukaryota, Metazoa, Chordata, Mammalia, Chiroptera, Vespertilionidae. The transcript is spliced from 2 exons. The record is from RefSeq and is a predicted model, not a curated record.